GACCCUGUAGCUCAGUCGGUAGAGCAAGCGGCUUUUAACCGUUAGGUCGUGGGUUCGAGCCCCACCGGGGUCA
This 73-nucleotide transfer RNA is filed under the name Gemmatimonadetes bacterium T265. Its description in RNAcentral is "tRNA-Lys". It matches the Rfam family "tRNA". From Rfam's summary of the family: Transfer RNA (tRNA) molecules are approximately 80 nucleotides in length. The record is from RNAcentral. Lineage: Bacteria; Pseudomonadati; Gemmatimonadota.